This 460-nucleotide ribosomal RNA is filed under the name uncultured bacterium. RNAcentral's name for it is "partial 16S ribosomal RNA". It matches the Rfam family "Bacterial small subunit ribosomal RNA", at positions 338 to 795 of the family's 1533-position model. The record is from RNAcentral.
CCUACGGGCGGCAGCAGUGAGGAAUAUUGGUCAAUGGGCGAGAGCCUGAACCAGCCAAGUAGCGUGAAGGAUGACUGCCCUAUGGUUUGUAAACUUCUUUUAUAUGGGAAUAAAGUGAGGAACGUGUUCCUUUUUGUAUGUACUUUAUGAAUAAGGAUCGGCUAACUCCGUGCCAGCAGCCGCGGUAAUACGGAGGAUGCGAGCGUUAUCCGGAUUUAUUGGGUUUAAAGGGAGCGUAGGUGGGUUGUUAAGUCAGUGGUGAAAGUUUGGGGCUCAACCAUAAAAUUGCAGUUGAGACUGGCUGACUUGAGUACAUUUGAGGUAGGCGGAAUGCGUGGUGUAGCGGUGAAAUGCAUAGAUAUCACGAAGAACUCCGAUUGCGAAGGCAGCUUACUAAACUGCAACUGACACUGAUGCACGAAAGUGUGGGGAUCAAACAGGAUUAGAUACCCGAGUAGUC